Molecule: transfer RNA, 63 nt
Filed under: Leptinotarsa decemlineata (Colorado potato beetle)
Lineage: Eukaryota; Metazoa; Arthropoda; Insecta; Coleoptera; Chrysomelidae
Description: tRNA-Gly
Source: RNAcentral
AUUUGUAUAAUAUAAUUAUUAUAUUUGACUUCCAAUCAAAAAAUCUAAAUCCUAGUACAAAUA